UACGUAGGGGGCAAGCGUUGUCCGGAUUUAUUGGGCGUAAAGAGCGUGUAGGCGGCCAGGUAGGUCCGUUGUGAAAACUCGAGGCUCAACCUCGAGCUGUCGAUGGAAACCAUCUGGCUAGAGUCCGGAAGAGGAGAGUGGAAUUCCCGGUGUAGCGGUGAAAUGCGCAGAUAUCGGGAAGAACACCCGUGGCGAAGGCGGCGACCUGGGUCGAGACUGACGCUGAGGCGCGAAAGCGUGGGGAGCAAACAGG
Molecule: ribosomal RNA, 253 nt
Filed under: uncultured bacterium
Lineage: Bacteria
Description: partial 16S ribosomal RNA
Rfam family: Bacterial small subunit ribosomal RNA
Source: RNAcentral